Molecule: long non-coding RNA, 644 nt
Organism: Arvicola amphibius (Eurasian water vole)
Lineage: Eukaryota; Metazoa; Chordata; Mammalia; Rodentia; Cricetidae
Exons: 3
Source: RefSeq, a predicted model, not a curated record
CCAAGUGUCAACAUGGUGUCUGCCAAGUGACUCACUAUGGAGAGCAGAAAGAUCUUCACUGCAGGACCAGGGAGGAGGAACAGAAAAAGGAGGCAGGAGGCAGGCUCCAUGACCUCUCCUACAGCUGGCCCAGACCUCCUUCCCAGGUGUGCUGCAUGUCACCAUGCAAGAAGGUAGGACAAGAACCAACUGUUCAAGAAGACCAGCCCAGAAGACUAAGUGCAGGUGACAGGAGCCGGCCAACUCCAUGAGGCACAGAGUAGAUCUGUUCCAAGGCAGCAGCCGUGUGGCACCCGGAGAUGAGCUAUAGUGGACUCCCUUCUGCACACCUCUUGCUCAGGCUGCUGAAGUCUCCCAUGAUCUGGCUGCUGCAAAGCAGGCCUUCCAAAAAGCCCCACCCUUGGAGCCUCGAAGCCUUGGGCCCUGGAUACAGAAGUGGAGUCCAGAGCAAAGGAGGCUUCCUUUCCUAAGAAACUCCCUCUCCAAAAAGGUAUCCCAGGCUAGCCUCAAGGAUAACCUUAAACUUCUGGUCCUUCUGGGUCCACCUUCCAAGUGCUGAGAAUACAAGGAUGUGCCACCAGCCUAGUCUUAUGUGGUGCUGGGGAACAAACCUGAGCCUUUGUAUAUGCUAAGCAGGUAACCAU